UACGUAGGGUGCGAGCGUUGUCCGGAAUUAUUGGGCGUAAAGGGUGCGUAGGCGGGUCUUUAAGUCAGGGGUGAAAUCCUGGAGCUCAACUCCAGAACUGCCUUUGAUACUGAGGAUCUUGAGUUCGGGAGAGGUGAGUGGAACUGCGAGUGUAGAGGUGAAAUUCGUAGAUAUUCGCAAGAACACCAGUGGCGAAGGCGGCUCACUGGCCCGAUACUGACGCUGAGGCACGAAAGCGUGGGGAGCAAACAGG
RNAcentral lists this ribosomal RNA (253 nucleotides) under uncultured bacterium. RNAcentral describes it as "partial 16S ribosomal RNA". It matches the Rfam family "Bacterial small subunit ribosomal RNA", at positions 524 to 776 of the family's 1533-position model. The record is from RNAcentral.